RNAcentral lists this ribosomal RNA (23 nucleotides) under Apinagia richardiana. RNAcentral describes it as "partial 26S ribosomal RNA". Lineage: Eukaryota; Viridiplantae; Streptophyta; Magnoliopsida; Malpighiales; Podostemaceae. The record is from RNAcentral.
UGACCCCAGGUCAGGYGGGAUUA